GAUGAAGAACGCAGUGAAAUGCGAUAAGUAAUGUGAAUUGCAGAAUUCAGUGAAUCAUCGAAUCUUUGAACGCACAUUGCGCCCGUCAGUAUUCUGGCGGACAUGCCUGUUCGAGCGUCAUUACGCCCCUCAAGUCCCCUGUGGACUUGGUGUUGGGGAUCGGCGAGGCUGGUUUUCCAGCACAGCCGUCCCUUAAAUUAAUUGGCGGUCUCGCCGUGGCCCUCCUCUGCGCAGUAGUAAAACACUCGCAACAGGAGCCCGGCGCGGUCCACUGCCGUAAAACCCCCCAACUUUUUAUAGUUGACCUCGAAUCAGGUAGGACUACCCGCUGAACUUAAGCAUAUCAAUAAGCGGAGGA
RNAcentral lists this unclassified non-coding RNA (358 nucleotides) under soil metagenome. Its description in RNAcentral is "partial contains 5.8S ribosomal RNA, internal transcribed spacer 2, and large subunit ribosomal RNA". The stretch from base 1 to 120 matches the Rfam family "5.8S ribosomal RNA", at positions 35 to 154 of the family's 154-position model. The record is from RNAcentral.